UACGUAGGGUCCAAGCGUUAUCCGGAAUCACUGGGCGUAAAGCGUUCGUAGGCGGGCACUUAAGUGAGCUGUGAAAGCGUGUGGCUCAACCAUAUCGUUGUGUCUCAUACUGGGUACCUGGAGGAAGGCAGAGGCAAGUGGAAUUGGCAGUGUAGCAGUGAAAUGCGUAGAGAUUGCCAGGAACACCAAUGGCGAAGGCAGCUUGCUGGGCCUUUUCUGACGCUGAGGAACGAAAGCGUGGGGAGCGAACAGG
Molecule: ribosomal RNA, 253 nt
Filed under: uncultured bacterium
Lineage: Bacteria
Description: partial 16S ribosomal RNA
Rfam family: Bacterial small subunit ribosomal RNA
Source: RNAcentral